CAAUAAAACGAGGCUGGUGAAAACUCCUGCUAUCAAAUCAAAGUAUGAAGUUAUUUCACUGCCUUUUCUUUGCAGGUUAAACUAUGGCCAUGAAAAAUGGUGCUGGGAUUGAAUCAUGAAUGUACAGGAGUCUUUAAACUGUUUCAUGGACAUUAUUUCUACAUCAUAUAUAGGUACAGCAACACCCCCUUCACAACGACUAGUGAUCAUGUUACCAAUUUCAGUCCAUGUAUCUGAAUGAGGGUUAUAAACUUCAACUGAGUCCAAGGUACCUGGGGCCAAGAAAUCAUGGCUAGAAGAUCGGCCUCCAGCAAUAUACAGAAGACCGUUGACUGCCACAACACACAUGCCCGCUCGAGGCACUUUCAUUGAGGCAACUUCAACCCACUUUUCCUGGUUGAGAGAGAAAAAAAUAAACAAAUAAACAUAAAUGUCAUAAAAUUAUACUAGAAAAAAAAUCACUGAGAAAUCAGACAGUUUGGUUCUUUUUAGAUGUUUAAAUUUCAAACUAACAAUACAGUCUUAUAAGUAUGUAGAACACUUUUAAAUGAAAUUUUGAGUAGAACUGGAUAAAGUGAAUUUAGAAGAAAAUAAUAUGAAAAGAUGUCUGAAUAUAAAUUAUGAUCGAGAGAUGAUCUAGAAAUCAUACAUAUGAGAAGCUAAGUCUAUGGAAUACAAGUAGGUAAUAGACUCAAUAAAAUAAAACAAAAAGAAGUUCAUGCCAAAGGGCUUUUUAAAGACUUUAAUAAUGCUAACAAAAGCUUUAAAAAUUUCCAAGAGAAUUAUACAAUACUUGCCAAAUUUAUUUGACCAUGAAAUCCUUGUUUCAAGGACCAUCCAGUGGAGUUAGCAAUUUGCAGAACAUAUUUUCAAAGGUUGGGUACUAUAGUCUAUUUUUGUAUAGCCUAAGAAUGAAAAAUGAUUUUUCCAUAUUAAAAGGUUAUCUUAAAAAAAGAAUAUGUCAAGAGAAGAUAUUGUAUGUCGCCCACAAGGCCAAAAAUAUUUACUCUUUAGUCCUUUCCACAAAAAAAUUGCUAAGGGCCAGGGAUUUAGCUCAGUGGUUUCAUUGCCUGCUGCACAAGCUCAAGGACCAGAGUUCGAUCCCUGGUACAAAAACAAAAAAAAAUUGCUAACUCCUAUGAGCACUGUUCUCUGAAGGAAUUCCAAUAAGCUUCUCUUAGUAAAAUUACUAUUAGUAUCCUACUUCAGGGGAAUUGUCUACACCUAGAAAACAGGAAAGCUAAUAAAGAUCCUAAGACAAGGGGCUGGGGAUUUAGCUCAGUGGUUCCGGCGCCUGCCUCACAAGCAUGAGGUCCCAAGUUUGAUCCCCGGUACCCCCCCCCCCCACAAAAAAAAAUCCUAAUACGCAAUCAGGAAAGAAAAGAGCAAGUGGCCAGAUAAUAAAGACUAGAUUAUGUAUAAAUAAAGCAUACUAUAAACAAAGUUUUUGAAAUCAUAAAAAGUGAACAUUGGUUACUCAUUAAUGAUAGAGAAUACACUUUUUGAGGACAGAGACUUAAUUAAUGACCUUUUCAUCUUAGAACCUGCUAGCCCAUUAUAGACAGUUAAUGUAUGUUUGGUGAUCUGAACUUAAAUGAAAUUCUGAAAUAAUAAAACCAGGGGGAAUUCUUUGAAUUGAAGUACCAAAUUAAAUUUGAAGGUUACAAUCAUCUGUAACCUGGAAUACAUCACAAAGUUGGCAUGGCUGAAAAAUAAUUAUUUUAAAAGACAGAUAUAUUCAUAAAAUAUCCAUAAUUGGUUAAGAUAAAUUAGGAUGUUUUGAGGUUAUAUUUAUAAUUAGGGAGAAUAGGGGUUAGAAUUUACAGAGUGAUAGAGUGCUUCCCUAGCAAGCUUGAGGCUCUGGGUUAGGUUCUCAGUACAAAAAAGUUAAAAAAACGAAAGAGAGAAAAAGGGAAAAAAGAAAAAAGCAACUAUAAUAAGGGAGAACUAAUCUUUGCUCUCUCAUGAAAAUGCCCUUUGACAAUUAUGGAGUAUGAACCUUAUCCUGUAUUGUUUCUUUCAUUUCUAUCAGUGUAUUAGAACUAUAGUUUGCUUUUUAUUCCAAGUGACCUCAAAAUAAACUCUGCAAGAUGUUUUAUAUUA
Molecule: non-coding RNA, 2103 nt
Organism: Heterocephalus glaber (naked mole-rat)
Lineage: Eukaryota; Metazoa; Chordata; Mammalia; Rodentia; Bathyergidae
Source: RefSeq, a predicted model, not a curated record